This is a long non-coding RNA of Oncorhynchus tshawytscha (Chinook salmon), 1100 nucleotides long. NCBI's taxonomy places the organism in Eukaryota, Metazoa, Chordata, Actinopteri, Salmoniformes, Salmonidae. The record is from Ensembl.
GUGUGUAUGGUGUGUGUGUAUGUUGUGGUGUGUAUGGUGUGGUGUGUAUGGUGUGGUGUGUACGGUGUGGUGUGUACGGUGUGGUGUGUACGGUGUGGUGUGAAUGGUGUGGUGUGUAUGGUGUGGUGUGUAUGGUGUGGUGUGUAUGGUGUGGUGUGUAUGGUGUGGUGUGUAUGGUGUGGUGUGUAUGGUGUGGUGUGUACAUAUACAGUAUGUUAAUAUGUGUCUGUUACAAAAUACAUUCCUGUUAUGAUAGCUUUCCUCAUAGCUUUCAUAACUCAUUUCAUCAUGUUUCUGGCACUGCUGCUUGCACUCUGCACAUCCUACUGAAUGUAGCUAUCGUGAUAUACUCUACCAUUCGCUGCCAUACAUAUUGUGCUAACAUGAUGUUAAUGUGUAUAUUAUGAAUUCAAUGGUUCAAUGGGCGCUCUUGUGUAUUAAUUAAUUGUCUUAGUAUGUAAAUGUUCAACUGUACAGGAUAAUUUUUUCUUCUUAAAUAAUUACAUUUCUUGGUCCAACAACCUAGAAAGUUUAAGACUAGCCUCCCUCCUUGUCCACUGUACAAAAACCUGACGCCCCACACCCCUACAAAACCCCCAGUGUGUAUGAGAGAGCGAGAGAGAGGGAGAGAGAGAGAGAGAGUGAGAGAGAAGAGAGAGAGAGAGAAGAGAGAAGGAGAGAAGAGAGAGAGAGAGAGAAAGAGAGAGAGAGAGAGAGAGAGAGAGAGAGAGAGAGAGAGAGAGAGAGAGAGUGAGAGAGUGAGAGAGAGAGAGAGAGAGAGAGAGAGAGAGAGAGAGAGAGACUGUAUAAAUGAGUGUUUUUUUUCUUCCUUAUUAUGUUGUAAUAAAGAGUCACUCAAGCUUUGAGCAACUAAAAUAAAAUAUGUUUUUAUUUUAAAGGGAAUCUGUGACUAUAUUUUUGCGCCAUUGAAAAAUGAGAAGAGUCUUAUAUUCUCAGUUGGGGUUUUUUCUUCCUCAAAGACAUAAAGUCACUUUCUGUGUGUGUAUAUCAACCUCACUGUAUGUAUUCUGUGUGUGUUUAUACUAUGGGUAUUUCUGUGUUCUUCUUCUUGGUGGAAACUACAUUUCCCACGACACAAC